ACAUGCAAGUCGAGGGGCGAGCACAAGGAGCAAUCUGAGGUGGCGACCGGCGCACGGGUGAGUAACACGUAUGCAACCUGCCUGUAAGCGGGGAAUAACCCGUUGAAAGACGGACUAAUACCGCAUAAUACUAAAUUACUGCAUGGUAAUUUAUUUAAACAUUUAUGGCUUACAGAUGGGCAUGCGCAUGAUUAGCUAGUUGGAGAGGUAACGGCUCCCCAAGGCAACGAUCAUUAGGGGUUCUGAGAGGAAGGUCCCCCACACUGGUACUGAGACACGGACCAGACUCCUACGGGAGGCAGCAGUGAGGAAUAUUGGUCAAUGGACGAGAGUCUGAACCAGCCAAGUCGCGUGCAGGAAGAAUGUCCUUAAUGGAUUGUAAACUGCUUUUGCAGGGGAAUAAAGUGCAUCACGUGUGAUGUUUUGUAUGUACUCUGCGAAUAAGGAUCGGCUAACUCCGUGCCAGCCGCAGC
Molecule: ribosomal RNA, 473 nt
Filed under: uncultured bacterium
Lineage: Bacteria
Description: bacterial SSU rRNA
Rfam family: Bacterial small subunit ribosomal RNA
Source: RNAcentral